CCCGGGUUUACUCAGCCUCGCGCCGUCUCCCCUCGCCGGGUAAUGUGAUCCGCGACCCUCUAGGUCAGAGGACCCCUCCCCUAGGAAUGUGGCUUUGGGCUCCGGCUCCGUCCGUCCUUGGGUUAGAAUCCAAACUGCGGACUGUGACUUCCCCGAGCAGGGCGGCGACCCCAGGCGGCCGGACAAGGUAGAAGGCGGGCGCCACGCUGGCUCGGGGCUGAGAGAGGAGGGGGAUGUCCAGAGUGGCUCGGAGGCGACUAGGGCGCAGGAAGUAGGAGGCGACCGUGCGCCGGCUGCGGACCUCAGCGAGCAUCCCGCGGGCAGCGGCUUUCUCGCCGCUAGACAAGCCGCGCGUGCUCUCCGCCCCUCCCAUUUGCUUCGGGCGAGCGACACCUAGCUCAGGUGACCACCCCCCUUGCGCUCUGAAGUACCAGCUUCUUGCUGCCCUAGUCCUGCCAGAAAUAGAGGUUCCUGUCCAAGAUGCCACCUGUUACCUGGGCCAAGAGGACCCGCCUAAUUCUCGUGCUCUCAGCCUGCCUCUUAUGUCCUGAUGUCCAUCUGGAUGAAUUUAUGAGAUGCAAAUCAUGUGACUCCCCCUUAAGUCUUCUGCAUCACACUUGAAAGGAGCCUAGGUUCCCAGCCACGGCCUGCCACCUCAAUGCCAGGCCAGCUCAAUGCCCUUGCACAGUCUUUCCUUCCUCCAUGAUGAGGCCAGGGUGCUCUCCCUCUCCCCUGCAUCACCCCAGGCUUUCCUCCCCUGAGAAAACUGUUUCCCUCAAUCUGCCAGUGAUCGUCUUGUCAUCCUUCAAGCCUCUGUUGGCAUCACGCCUCCAAGAGGACCUUUGUGAUGCCCUUAAAUGGAACAGUUCCCUCUAUCCUACGAAUGUCCUUGGGAAUUGUCUUAUCAAUUUGUUUUAUUAUCAUCUGACCCACUCACAUCUGUGUUGUACUAUCUUGCGAGUGGGGCCAUGAUAUAGAUACUUAGUGAAUAUUCGGGGAAUUAAUGACUUGCUGUUAUCAGCACAAGGCGAUAAGGAGAGGGGGUGCUGAUGUCUGAAGUGGACUGACCGACCACCUCUUCAGAUUGCUCCGAUCCUAUUCAGUUAGGGACCCAAUGGGAACCGUGUUGUGGGGCUCCUCUUGGUUCUCUUCUGUUUCUGAGCUAGUUGACACCAGCAGCACCGAUUCCCUCCUCGCAUCCCUCUUCCUUCCAUGUCUUCUCUCUCCUCCAUCACCCACGGCCACACCUGAUUAGUUUGAAUGCCAAGUCAGUCUUUAGGCCUCUCUUCAAUUACAUUGUCUAGGCAUCUCUUUCUGGGAUUCAAAUCUUUACACCCGAAAGGAAUUCCUGAGUCUCUUUACAACACUCUCAUGAUUUCCCCCAGUGGGAGAUCUUGGCCUACAACAUCUUGGUAUCUCGCACAGACACGUCACACCCAGUGUUCUUACAACUCAGUGUCUUCCUUUUGCUCCUCCUCGUCUUCUUCUUCUUCCUCUCUUUUUUCUUCUUCUACUUCCUGUCUUCCUCUUUUGGGAGCUGGCUCUAAUUUACACAGGCAGGCCAGAAACUUGCUAUCUAGCCAGCAAUAACCUCAGCUCCUGUUCUUCCUACCUCUGCCUCCUCCCAAGUGGUGAGAUUACACAUAUCUGCCACCAGGCUCACCUGACUGCAGUUCAGUUCAGUCCGUUCCUUUGACUGGUUGGAGUGUACCAUAUGUGUGCAUGGGCACAUCUCUACGUACACAUGGUAAGGCAAAGAAGAACAUCAUAGAUGUUUCCAUUAGACUGCCUGGCAGGAAGCUUCCAGAACCUGCAUGUCUCUGCUCUCCAACACCAGAGUUAUAGACACACACCCUAUUCCCGGCUUUUUAUCUGUGCCUGCUGGUGAUGUGAACUCGGACCGCCAUGUUCGUACAGCAAAUACUCUUACCCACUGAGCCGUCUUGUGGGAGUCAGUUCUGUCCUACCAGAGGGAUCCUCGGGAGCAAUAUCAGGUCAAGAAGCUUGACAACAGGCACCUCUACCAACUGGGCCAUCUUGCCAGCCCUCUUUUUGGUUUUGUUUGUUCGAGACAAGCUCUCACUAUGGAAGUCAGGCUAGCCUGGAACUCAGUCACCCUGCCUCACUCCUCUCAGUACGACCUGUAGCUUCACUCCCAGCUCUUUGACCUCUGUUCUAAGAGUCUACCUGGCUCUCACCUUUGUGUCCAAUACCUUAGAUUCUCCACUCGCUUCUGAACAUGCCAUUCCCAUGUUCCUGUAGCAGCUGUGGGGAGUUGCUGCUGUCUCUCUGCCUUAUUUGGCAGUGCAGUGUUCCUACACAGAAGCCAUAAUUUGUUCCCUGCUUUUUUUUUAAGAAGGCAUUUUCACCUAACGUAAUAGGUCAUUUGUUUACACCUGCAGAGGAAGAUAGGCCUCAUUAUAGCCCUAAAGUUGUUUCAAGAAUAAUUCUGCGAAUAGGGACUGAGUAGAUGGCUCAUCAGUUAAAGCAAGCAUGAAGGAUAGGGUCACCAGAAACGCAGAUAACGCCCAGUGGGCACGGUAGCCUAUGUGUAAUUCUGUCCUCAGAAGGUGGGGACAGGAAGUCUAUGAAGAAACAAUGGAGCCAGACUUGGUAGAGCACACCUUUAAUCCCAGCACUCAAGAGGGAGAAGCAGGAGAAGCUUUGUAGAUUCCAGGACAGCCUGGUUUCCAUAGUGUGUUCCAGGUCAGCAGGAGCUACCUAGUGAGACCCUGUCAGAGAGAGAGAGAGAUAGAGAGAGAGGGAGGGGGAGGACUGGUUGUUGGUGGCACACACCUUUCAUCCCAGCACUUGGGAGACUGAGGCAGGCAGAUACCUUUGAGUCUAAGGCCAGCCUGGUCUACAGAAUGGGUUCCAGGACAGCCAGGACUACACAGCAAGAAACCUUGUCUAGAGAAAGAAGUACAAGAUGGCUCACUGGUUAAAGGUGCUUGCCGCCAGACCAUACAACCCUGACAACUUGAGUUUUUCCCAGGAUCCAUGUAAACAUGGAAGGAAAAAAAAAACACUUAAAAAACAUGUUCUUGGGGCUGGAGAGAUGGCUCAGUGGUUAAGAACACUGCCUACUCUUCCAGAGGACCCGGGUUCAAUUCCCAGCACCCAUGUGGCAGCUCACAACUGUCUGAAGAUCCAUUUCCAGGGGAUCUGACACCUUCAUACCAAUGCACAUAAAAUAAAAGUUAAAUAAACUAUAAGAAAUGGUUUUUUUUUUAAAUGUCCUCUAAUCUCCAUAAGUGCCGCAAUGUGCUCUUCCCCACCACACACACACCAUAAACACGAAAUCACAAUUUAAAAAAGCAAAAACCUGUGGCUGCUAUUGAUGUGUAACAUUCUACUUAUAUAUGUACUAUGUAAAUACACAUACACACAAGUGUGUGUGGUAUGUAUAAUUUCAAUUUUUGGAAACCUUUACUGUCAGCUUUGGAAAAGGCUUUAACAUGUUGGGUUGGCAUUGUGCAGAAAUUAACAUCCAUAAUUGGUAUAGAAAAGUUAAUUAUCCCAUUUGUACAGGAACAGCAUUGUAUUAAAUAUAUACAGUCUUACCUAUGUGGGUUUGAGUAAAGAAACUAAGAAAGUAGCCUCUAAAUAAUUGGGAAAAAUAAACUUAAAAAUAACAGAUUAGAAUGCUGGAGAGAUGGCUCAGCAGUUAAGAGCACUGGCUGCUCUUCUAGAGGACCCAGGUUCAAUUCCCAGCACUCACAUGGCAGCUCACGACACCCAUGGCAAAACACCAAUACACAUAAAAUAAAAGUAAAUGAUUUUUUAAAAAAGCCAAACCAUAAUGAUAAUAUACCCAAUUAACCAAAAGGUAUAAUAAUUUGAAGUUUUUGU
Long non-coding RNA from Alexandromys fortis (reed vole), 3852 nucleotides. RefSeq lists it as uncharacterized. The transcript is spliced from 3 exons. Lineage: Eukaryota; Metazoa; Chordata; Mammalia; Rodentia; Cricetidae. The record is from RefSeq and is a predicted model, not a curated record.